This is a long non-coding RNA of Ahaetulla prasina, 1048 nucleotides long. RefSeq lists it as uncharacterized. NCBI's taxonomy places the organism in Eukaryota, Metazoa, Chordata, Lepidosauria, Squamata, Colubridae. The record is from RefSeq and is a predicted model, not a curated record. The transcript is spliced from 3 exons.
UGGGGAAGAACUUGGGCCAGUCUUGGAGUGUGGGGAAGGCUCUGAUGGAUGCUCUGUGUCAGAAGCAGAGAUAGAUCCAGGGCCAUCCGACAUUUCCCAGCUGCCUUCGGAGUCAGAGAUAAGUGGGGAAGAAGAACAGCUGGGGCCUGUUCCAGAUGAGAAACCAUAUUUAUCGAGGAAGGAAAUCCAGACGGGAUUCAUCCAGCCUGUUGCUUCCCUAUGAAAUUAGGCAUCAAGCAUCGUAUACUUUUUGAGACACCCUAGGAAUACAAUCCUGGUCAAAUGUAUAAAACCAGGAGUAACGUUUUGCACGUGUUAGUUUUGGCGGGCACCCCCUAGUUUUGUGUUUUUCUUGGUGGAGACGUUCGUUUGCAAACCAGAUGCCGGCUGAAACAAAACCCAAGCUACUUUUAACUGCCAGAACCAAAGCUUUCCAAGAAGUAGGUUGCGGUCUACUGGAGGGGGAGAUGUCAAUGUUGCUGGCAAUUAUAAAUCAUUUGCAAUUUCCUGAGAUGAAGAAUGGGGAUUCCUCUCCUCCCACUCCACCCCCAGGGGAACUGCUCCUUCGUUUAGAAGACAAGAUGACUCAGUCUGGUGGAAUCAGUCAAUCUCAAAAAUUCAGCACAUAGAAGACGAAGACAGACGCGCAGUUGUGAUAAAAGGAUAAGGCAAAAUAACAUUGCGCCCACACUUCCUGAAUCUGCAUGGACAAAUGUUCAAUGCUCCUGUUUUACAUGGAGAUGUUGUCAAGGCCAAGAGGGGAAGAAAAGCGGCAUAAAAUCAGAGCUUUUUAAAGAAAUAAAAAUUAUAGAGCAUUAUUAUUAUUAUUAUUUCUUAGAGUGGGGGGAGGGAUUGUUGGGAGAUCUUCUGCACUAAGCCAGAGAUUCAAAUUUACAUUUCAUUUCCACUUGUUGAAAGAGUCCAAUUUCCAGUGUAAAAUUAUGUUUGUGUCUGUUCAGAAGUACGUGCCGUGGUUUCCAUGCGGCUUAUUCAUACAAAAUUAUAGGCUGAAAGGACUAAGUUAUUUAUUCAUUUUCUUCACUUAAAA